RNAcentral lists this transfer RNA (93 nucleotides) under Thermoplasmatales archaeon B_DKE. It matches the Rfam family "tRNA". Rfam says of the family: Transfer RNA (tRNA) molecules are approximately 80 nucleotides in length. Lineage: Archaea; Methanobacteriati; Thermoplasmatota; Thermoplasmata; Thermoplasmatales. The record is from Rfam by way of RNAcentral.
GCCGGGGUGGCUCAGUUGGUAGAGCGUCGGACUCAUAAGAUUGUAAAGGUCUGAGAAAUCCGAAGGUCUCGGGUUCGACCCCCGAUCCCGGCA